This 16970-nucleotide long non-coding RNA is filed under the name Malus domestica (apple). Its description in RNAcentral is "long non-coding RNA (MDOM_LNC014341)". The record is from RNAcentral. Lineage: Eukaryota; Viridiplantae; Streptophyta; Magnoliopsida; Rosales; Rosaceae.
UUUUUUUUUUUUUUUCUGUUGUUUUCUUUUUUUGUUGGAUAAUUUUCUUCUUUUAAUUUUUUUUGUCAAACUUCUUUUUUAAUCAUAUAUUCAAUUUUGUUAGGCAGAUUAUUUUUAAAGUAAAAAUAAUGAAAAUGGCUUGAAAACUUUGAGUUUUAACGAUAAGAACAAAAUAAAAGGUGUGAAUAGUAUCAAAAUUGACUUCUUAUAUAGUUUUUCGUUAAUGUGAACAGUAACAUGAGUUUUUCGUUAAAAUUUCAUAUUUUUAAACCCAUAUAACAAGUAAUCAUUUCUAACCUAAAAGGGAAUUAUUUUUUGCAAUAUUUUAUACAAUAACAAUUAUAAAGUAAGAGAAUUGUGGUUGAGUUAGGGCUUGUUUGGAUAUACUUUUAAAAUGUUGAAAACUCUUUUAGAAAAAAUGUUUUUGGGUUUCAAAAGCAUUUAAAGUGCUUUCUGUAAGAAACACCAAUAUGUGCUUCUUCCGGGAAGCACUUUAAGUGCUUUUCCAGGAUUUACUUGUAUUUUUACAAAGAAUUAGUUCCAAAAACAUUUUCACCAAAAACACUUUCAGUUAUUUUAAAAAUACAUCCAAAAGAGCUCUUAAACUUUCAUCAUUGUCGGCAAUCAUGUUGCGGGAUUUGUAAUUUUUUACAUAAAUUCAUAUGGUAGCAGCUAAUAAUUAGGUGACACGCAUAAGUUCUUUCAGCUCAAAAUUAUGGUAUGACCUAAAGCUAGUAAUGAGAAUAAUCAAUCUUCCCUUAAACUUGUUGUUACCCAAAAAACAAAAAAAGCAUUCAUCAUUGUGCCUAAGUCUCGAAUUAGGAUUCCUUCUUCUUUUUAAUAAAAAUGAUAAAGCAAUUUUGAAUUUUUCAUGAUGACUUGCGAAAUUGAAUAUUUGAAAUACAAGUGGAACCCCAUUGAUCGGUUCAUGUACAUAUGAGUUGAAUUUAUGAAUAUAUGAGUUUUUUUUUUUGUUGUUGUAAAGAAAUCAGCUAGCAGUUUCGUUAAGAUAAUCUAUUUUUUCAGAUGUUAGAAAAUUUACAGGUACAUUUCAACUUUUUCCGUCCACUAUCGUGCCAUUCACUAAUACCAAAAGUUGAACUCAGAAUGUGUUAUAUAAAAUAUGAAUCUAAAAUAUAUUCUCAAUUACUAGGCCACCUCGUGGUGAUUAGUGAACAUAGGAGUUAACUCUCCUAGAAACACCGGAUAACGUCAUAACUUGACUUUUUACCUUUGUUGAAACAAGUGUGCAAAUUUUUGUGAAUACUUAACUCAUUUUUGUCAUUUCAUGUGCCAAUAAGAUUUUUCUUUGGUCAAAACCAAGAAUUCCAAUGAAAGAUAUACCGGAAUAUUAUUUAGAGAAUCUUGACACGAUAUUAUUUAGAAAGUUUUGCACAAAAAAGCUGGUAUGAAAUUUUAAAUAAAAUGGAGUCACACUAAACAAACAUUAAAAAAAAUAUCAAACAAGCCUUAGGCUUUUCUUGUUGAUGAUGGUGACAGUAUUGAUGAUAACGAUGAUAAUUGUUUGGACUCGUUUCAAACUACUUUAAAAACAAAAACAUUUUUGCUCAUAAGUUUUUAUUUCUCUUAGAAAUGCUAUUGUUACAAACAAAUCGGAAUUUUUGGUACAAGUUCAAGUUCAUCACUUGGAAGUGUUUCUUCAUGAAACACCUCACAUGUGCUUCUCCAAAAUGAUAUGUGCCUCUCUAAAAAGUAAGAGCACAUUUGGAAGUGUUUUUGAAAUGAUUAAAAAUGUUUUUAAUGAAAAUGUUUUUAUACCAAUCUUUAGUAACAAUGCAAGUGAAUCUUCAAAAAUCACUUGAAAUACUUCAUGCAAAAAGCGUAUAACUGGUGUUUCUUGCACAAACAGUUCAAGUGCCUUUCAACCCAAAAAUAUUUUCUUUAAAAAUACUUUUAGUCGUUUAAAAGUACUUCAAAUGUGUAUUUUUUCUAAAAAUGCUUUUAGUCGUUUAAAAGUACUUCAAAUGUGUCUUAAUUCUAUGACCUAGAAGAACUUUUUUAGGUUUUAAUAUGGAGUUACAUCUAUAUGUGAAUAUUUUCAAAUUUCAUGGGUGGAUCAUGAUUUUUCACAAAAGAAAAAAAAAAGGAAAAAUCAUGACCCGGGGGGGGUUACUUGACAGAAGAUGUAUUCCACCUCAAAAGAGGAGGUGACUUAUGUUAUAGAAAAAUUAAUGAAAAUAAUUUGAAAAUUUUAGGUUUUAAUAAUAAGAAAAAAAUAAAAUAAAUAAUAUCAUGAUUAUUUUUUUAAUAUAAAAAUAUAAUUUUUCAUUAAAAUGAAUAUUAUUAAGAGUUUUUCGUUAAAGUACCGUACUAUAUUCUCGUAUAUAAGCAACAUACUAUAUUCUCAUAUAUAAGCAACAUAAAAUCCUAGGUUUUGGCUUCACACAGAAUCACAAUCGCAAAGAUGGUAGAGAAACUCGCCGAAACCUCGGAGGCCACCGCCGCUGCUACCGCUGAAGGCGCUAAACACAUGGACCUAGAAGCUUCAGAGCCUGCUGCCGCUCAAAAUUCCGAUGAGAUUGAAGCCAUUAAUGGGGAGGUGGAGGCAAACUCGAAGCGGGUCAGGGACGAGGAGGGGAGUGAAGGAAACGAUGCUAAGAAGACGAAGGUGGAGAAGUCGCCGGAGGAAGAACGGUUGGAGGAGAAGUUAGGGGAAGGGGAGAACUCGGGUCGGGUCAGCUUGGGUCCGAAGAGUUUUGGGUCUUCGGUGGAGAUGUUCGAUUACUUCUACAAAUUCCUCCAUUACUGGCCUACUGAUCUCAAUGUCAAUAAGGUACCCAAAACAAAGCUAUUUGAUUAUUCUUAAUCUUUUCAGCCCUAUUUUUCUUUUGCUGAAAGUUAAAGAUUGGAACUUUUUGUUAGUGUAUAGCAAUAUAAUGUAUUAUUUAUUCAAUUUGGUGUUUUGUAAUCGAGAUUAAUUAGGAUUUGGGAAAUUUAGUUUUGGGUUGUUUGCUUUCCUUCGUUUGGAUGAUCAACGACUGAGGAUUUGGGUAUUACAUAGUUUUAUGAAAUAAAUUUUAGUUAGGAUUCGGCUACAUAUGCUAAUGCGGUAUUACAAAUAGGUUUUUGUUUUAAUCAGUGAAUUUGGAGUUGUUACGUUUGAUUUAUUCAAUCUGAUUGCUAGAAAGAUCGAGGGGAGGGGAAGAAAAUAAGAGUGCAAAAGUCACCUGGCUACGGAAAAUAUUGGUUUCGAGUUGAAUGUUAUGUUUCGAAUUUGAGUGAGUAUUAUUCAUUCAUGUGUUUGACGAUAUAGUUUGUGUGAAUGUGAAUUCUCUUCGAAUUUGGUAGGAAGCUCGAUGAUGGUAGUUCUUUAUUCAAAAUUUCAAAUUCACUGCCUUGGUCUUUUGCUACAUGAAGCUAGAAUCUGUUCACAUAACUCUGGAUUUUAGUUCACAGAGUUGAAUUAUAUUUACACAAUGAGGUCAGCUUUAGAAUUUUCAACUAAAAAAUGAUGAAUUUUGUAAGAUCUGUGUAAAAUGGUUGUGAUUGUGGCAUAUAGUGCUUUGAUUUUGAGAUUGCUUCGCUGCCUUGCAUUGUAUCUAGGUUUAUUGGAUGAAGUUUUUUUAUUGAAAUUCUUGUUAUAUUGCAGUAUGAGCAUCUGGUUUUGCUCGACUUGCUUAAGAAGGGUCAUGCCGAGCCCGAUAAGAAGAUUGGUGGAGGGGUCAAGGCAUUCCAAGUUCGGAUCCAUCCGUUGUAUAAAAGUAGGUGCUUCUUCCUCAUUAGGGAAGAUGAAGUUGUUGAUGAUUUUAGCUUCAGGAAGUGUGUGGAUCAGAUACUUCCCUUGCCUGAGAACAUGAAAGCAAACGCUGAUGCGAAUAAAGCCUUAGGUGGCAAGGGCGGCAGGGGUGGUGGCAGUGGUGGAAGAGGAGGCUGGCGUGGUCGUGGAAGGGGUAAAGCCGAGAAACUAAACUAAAAUAUCAAGUUUUCUCCUUGCUGGCGGGCGUUUUGCGUUUAGCAGAGGUUCAAAGUGGAAAAUUUUUGGACCGGUUAAAUUACCUCCUUUUAUUGCACUAAACAGUUGUAUUAUUCAAAUUUUGAUUCUUAAUGGCUUCUUUCGCCGUUUCUAUUGCGAUUAAUGUACUAUGUUUGCACACUAAUACAAAAAAUUUAGGAUCUUAGCUGAAAUCAUCAACCUUGCUGUAAAAAUACACACUUUCGAAAAAUGGUGUUUUUGUUAUGGUGUAGAUGGUGAUACCACAUUUCUUUAUAAUGCUUGGUUGAGUUCAAGGACUAUUGCCCCUAAACAAUUCUUUCCAUUAGAGCAUUUCAAUCGAGAUAUAUAGAAGUCACAUUCGGCCAUCACCAAUCAAUGGCAUUUGGCCGAUAUUAGCCUAAAUUGAACAUAUAUAAUCUCCAAUCAAAUGGCAUCUUGAUAAACUUUGUAGCCUCAUGAAGGUCCACCAUCAACAUCAAUGCUAUCGUCUCCAUCUAACCACCUAUCGUUAGGUGUAGGGUUUUAUUAUAAAAAAUCUGCAUGAUAAUAGCAUUGGAAUAUCCUAUAUAUAAGUUGGGUUGUAUUUUGUCAUAUGGCGAUGUGAGAAGAGAAUCUAUUCUCCAACAUGCUCCUUCACGAGUGACGACACAUAGUGUCAUAAGUCAUUGAUCGACCGGUCAUAUUUCAAUCUUUAGUAUGUCAUUAUUCAGCCUUUGCUGUCAGUUUUCGAAGGCUCAGUUGUUCAGUAGCCUUAAGUUGGAGAUAGCGCAUCUUUCGAAAGCCCAACUUCAAAAAGCGUGUUCAAGUCCAAUAAAUCGAGCCCAUGACAUGUCGAAAGAAUUAUAUUUUUUAGGGCUAAAAUUGUGACCAGGCACUUACUUUUCCCCAUCUUUACAUCUUUCCCAUUGGAGGAAGACUAAAAUAUACAUUUCUACAAUGUAAAAUAAGAUGUAAAUAUGGCUUUUACAUUCCAAAUUUGUAUACUUACACCUUAAAAAGUAUAAACAAGAAAUGUAAAACGCACAUCUUUCAAUAUAUUACAACUCCCAUUAAAAAUGCUUUUACAAAUUAAGAUCCUAUAUGGAAUCUUUCUUUCACAUAUUGCUCAACCUUUAUUACAGUGGUGGAAAUAUAUUGAACUCUUGCAUGACGGCGUGGGUUCAAAUCCCGUUGAUGACUAAUUUAACAUCUAAUUUAACAAAAUUUAUCUUUUAACAAAAACAAAAAAAUAGCAAGAAGUUUUAACCAAAAUGUUAAUCAAGUACUCGGUGCUUGUUAUUUUGUAUUUUUGAUGAACCGGAAGAGAGAAUUUGAAUUCAAAUAUCCAUCAAUAUUGGGAACAAAAAUUACUCAUUGUCCAUUUUUAACCGCAGAACUAUCACCCCUACUCAUUGCUACUAUAAGACCAUCUCCAGUCAAGGAAGAUUAAAUGUAGCUAUUAGUUAUGUUUUUAGUCCUCUUAAAAUAAAUAUUUUAAAGACUAUUUUAGGGCUAAAUUUUUCCAUCUCCAUUCAUCUAUGGCUAUAUUUUUUCCUUUCAAAUUUUAUUACUUUUUGGGUCAAAUUUAGUUUGCCAUGGGACUACAUGUUGCCCAUCUUGAAGCCAAACUUAGCCUGAUUCUUGCUACUUUGUAAUUAGUAAUAUGAUAUAGUAGUGUUUCUUUUUACUUGUAAGUGAGAGGUCUUAGGUUCGAUUCUCACCAAUGAAGAAUUUGAACAACAUUAUUGAUUGCCCACUAUGAGGCUAAACCCACUCCAUUCUCCUUAGAUAAUAUAAUUUGUUUAAAAUAAAAAAAAUAAAAAAUAAAAAACUUAGCCUGAUUCAUUUAGCCGUUUGGUUUGAGACUGGUUUUGUAAAAUUUAAAGCUGGGCUCAUUCGGAUGUGCUUUUAAAAUUACUGAAAACACUUUUAGAGAAAAUAUUUUUUUUUGUUCCAAAAGCACUUAAAGUGAUUUAUGGAAGAAGUACAUAACUUAUGCUUCUUCCAGGAAGCACAUAACUUGUGUUUCUUCCAAGAAGCACUUUAUGUGUUUUUCCAGAAUUUACUUGCAUUUUUACUAAGAAUUGAUUAAACAAUUUCACCAAAAGCGCUUUCAGUCAUUUCAAAAAUACAUCCAAACGAGCUCACAUAUAGCGUAUGACCCUUGACAAGAGAUGGCCUAACUCUUCUAUGUUCUAAUUGGCCACCACUCAUAUGCAAUAAUAAAAAAAAUGAAAAGGUCACAUAGUACUGCAGUCUAGUAGUAUUCUUCUUUACUUGUACCUGAGAGGUCUCAGGUUCGAUUAUUGCCAAAUGCGAGUUUGAACCAUAUUAUUGCUAGCCAAUUGUGAGGUUAAGCUUACUCCCCCCUAGAUAAUAUCAUUUGUAACAAAAAAAAAUGAAAAAGUACUUCUUAAUUAAUCAAACUAUUCCUAACUGAUGACAGAAAAUAAAUUCUACAUGAUAUAGUAUCUCCCUUCUCUUCCCACUAAUCAUAACUUCAUAAUUUAAUGAAUAAGCCAUUAAUUUGUAAAUGAUUAUUGAUACGUUACAUGCAUCCAUAUUAAAACCCAAUCCACAGUGUAGUGUAAUUAAUCUGAGCAAAGUUAUUUUUUACAAUUUGAAAAAUGAACAAAAAACCACAAAAAAAUUAUAGAGCAUAAUCUUAUUUUUCAAAAUUAAAAUGGAUAGGGUGAAUCAAUUUAAUGCCAUAUAAUAUUCGUUCACGAAGGAAAAUAAUAUGAGACUUCUAUAAAAAUUUUGUUGAUUUCAACCUGUAUAUCCAGUAUCCACAAUACUUUUUUCUUUUUAGAAAAAAUUAGGUUCUCAUCCUUUCUUUUGCUACUCCAUUGAUUAAAAUCUUAUUUCUUUUCAAUUUUUUAUCAAGGUCCUUGGGUAUUAAUAACAUCAUUAAUUAUUUCAAUAAUAAAAUAUUUUUUAUGUCUAAAUAUAUUCAUUUAAUGUUAAAAAUGUUACAGUUAGUAUAUUUAUAUUUAUGACUAAAUUUUUUAUCAUAUAUUUUUAGUUUUAGUUUGUACCCAUUUUUAAUUUGUAAUUCUUUUUUAACUUGUACCAAUUUUCUUUUCGGUUUUAAUUUGUACCCAUAUAUUAAUUUCUUUUUGUGCCCAUAUUUUUUAAAGUUUAUUUGUAUUUGUACCCAUAUUUUUUUUGUAUUUGUACUUUUUAUUUUGCAAAAUGUACCCAUGCUAAUUAUAUGUACCCAUUCAUGUAAAACUUUUUAAUCUUAAAAUAUACUCAUUCUUAAAUAUAGCAAUUUGUUAUAUGUAAAAUGUACCCUUUUUUUAUAUAAAAUCUAUUCAAUUUUUUUCCAAUCCAUUUUAAACUUAUAUGGGUACAUUCUUUUUUCCUUGAUUUUAAAAUGUAUCCAUGUCAAGUUUAAUUGAAGAAAUUUACUAAUAUUAUUAAGCCUAAUAUCUUUCUUUUUUUGUGAUUUUGAAGAAUGUACCCAUGUUUUGAUACAAUAAUUUUUUGGGUUAAUUUUGAUGAAUGUGCCCAUGUUUAUACACACACACACACACAAACACAAUAGUAUAUUUAUAUUUUAAUAUUUUUAAUCCCACAAAUUAUGGUUUUUUUAUAUUUAAAAUCUCAUUUAUAUAAACAACUAAAAUUUCUAAUUUUUAAUUUAAAAAAUAUAGUAACGUACAUAGAAAUAAAUUUUUACAUUAAUUUCAGGGACCUUGAUAAAAAAUUAAAAACCAACAAGAUUUCAAUCAUAAAAUAUUCAUAACUAAGGACCGCAUCCAAAGUUUUUUUAAUUUUAUUAUGCUUAUAUAUCCUUCAACUUGUACAGAUGAAAGGGUGAUGAUCCUGAAAAUUAUUAGGAUAUUGAAAAAUAAUUUGAUCCGAAUGACGAAGGAGAGACGUAAUAAUUCCAAAAGGUGAACAAACGUGACCGGAAAUGAUAAUCAUAAACAUAUAGAUACGGCUACUGCUGCCCAGAUUAUGGUUCCAAGAUUACUAACUUCAAGCAAAUAUGUAGGUAGCUUCUGUAGAAGUAAAAUCGAUGACACGUGGCAAUCAUGCAGCACACUUCUAUGUCCUUAAGUAAUUAUAUUGCAGCCAAACAAAUUACAAAGCAAAGAAUGAUUUCAGUUGAGUAGAGUAUGGUUAAGUAGCAAAAUCAAGAAAGAAAUUAAGAGAAAAAGGAAGAAUAAUCAAAUUAAUUAACUGGUGUGGUGGUGGGAGGUGUGGCGGCGCACGUUCAUGUAGGCUAAUGAUCAUCACGAAGCCCUCUUAAUAAUCAAUUAAAAGAAAUAAUUAUGUGUUUAGGAGGAUCCAUUAAUACAUCUUGUAACUCUCGCUAGGUAAUAAUUAGGCACGCACAGUGAACAAUGAAUGAAUAACACUCCUAAACACUCCAUAUUCAUGCAUGGGAUUUUUAUCCAUGCGAUAUAUAUACCCACUACUCGUCUCUUCUCCUUCCUCAUCCUCCUGUACAUUCUCUCUCUCUCUCUCUCUCUCUCUCUCUCUCUCUCUCUCUCUCUCUCUCUCUCUCUCUCAUCAAAUGGCUAGUCAUUCACCAAUGGGUUGGCUGGCCAAGUACGACGUCGUCAAGGAUCGUGGUGAAGGUCAACCUCACAUUUCCGGUGUGUGAAUAUUAUGGACUUUUGCAUACACACACACACACAUAUAUAUAUUUCAUCGUGUUUUACUUUUAAGUGUUUUUUUUAUUUUUUUUAAUUUCUUGUGGAUGUUAAUUAUUUUAGGGGGUAUGCAUGCGAUUGGCAAUUUGAUUUGCCAAUAGUACAAGAUCAUAGAUUUCCUGAUCAUCCUCUUCCUUCACUCGAGAGCUGUGUGAAUAUUGAUCCUAUUUACUGACACUUCGACACCAAUCCGAACUUGCACAUGUUCAGUAGGUACUUUUUUCGAACUUUUAUUGCAAGUGUUUUUUUAAUUUUUUUUAAAUUCUUGAAGUCAGAUGUUAAUUAUUUGUUAUUGCACGAUUGCAGAAUGAUGAAAAUGGAAUUACGGACAUGAACGAUUCGAGGGAAGCGAGAUUUAGAUUAGCAGGGAAAAAUGAAAAGAAAUUUGUUUGGAGUUAAUUCUAAUGAUUAGUGGUGGUCUUCUAAAAGACAUCAGCAAUUCAUCAAAGCAGCAACCUCUCAUUCCUUUUGGAAAUUGUCUUCAGACCAUUUCCAGUCUUCUACUACAUCACUCAGGCUGCCAAGGAACUCAACGUAGGGCUAACUCUUCUGAAGAAAAGGUGUCGAGAGUUGGGCAUUCGUCGUUGGCCUCAUCGGAAGUUGACCAGCCUUCAAACCCUAAUCCGAAACAUUCAGGUCAAUAGGCGUUACAUAUUUGUACGUGUUCGUGUCUGAUUCGAAAAAAAAUGAAUGUGUAGCGAUUAUAUCGUUUUUAUGCAUGCAGGAGUUAGGAAAGGAAGGAGAGGAGGGCGAAGAGAAGCUUCGAAACGCGAUCGUGUUGCUGGAGAUGGAGAAGAAGCUGCUGGAGGAAGCUCCUGAUAUGCAGCUUGAGGACAAUACGAAGCGUCUAAGGCAGGCAUGCUUCAAAGCAAAUUACAAGAAGAGGAAGAUCAUGGGGACGAAGGUUAUGGAAAAAUCACAAUCAUCUUUUAGUUGCAGCAACAGUCAGUAUCCAACAAGUUCGAUGGAUGCUAACGAGGAAGACGAAGAAAUCAAGUCUCUAUUGUCUGACUCUUUUUCCUCGAAUAACAAUGCAUGCAUCACUCUAUUUUAAAUUUUAAUCAGUUGGAUUUUCUUUUUAAUUUAUUUUUAAUUUAUUUUUCAUGUUUUUUUUAUAUUUUAAUUUAUUUUUAUUUUUAUAAUUUUCCUCAUCAGACUUCAUGUUUUUCGAUUUUAAUUUUAGUGAUAUAUUAUGAGUGUUUAACUUCAUGAGCAAUGGGGCUCUGAAUUGAAUACAGUUGAUCCAAAUCCAAAUCCAAAUUUAUGUUAUAUUCUGUUUUAAUACUUAAUUUGCACAAAAGGGAAAAUUCGACUUUAGCACAAGUUAUUUAAUUUUGAAUUUCUUCCUCAAUAAAUUGACUGAGAUAAUGGCAUUUUUACAUCAUGCUAUACGAAAAUUUUAAUGGCAUUUAUACUAUAAAAUGUAAAUACAUGUGUGGGUCUCACAAUAAAAUCCACAAGCAUCAACGAUUAGAAAUUAGUGAUGCAAGUUACUUCCAAUGCUCUUGCAAAGUUGGUCGAACAGGACAUAUGGUCAAGUGAUUACGCGAAAUAUUGUCUCAUUCGCGAUACAAACACUUAUACUUGGCACCUUGUAUUGCGUUUGAAAGAAUAAUUUGAAGUGUCUCAAGCUUAUAGAAGCAUUUUCUGAAGGAAAAAUUCUUCUUGAGGAAGCAUUUUCAAGAAUUUGGCAAAAGCUUUUUAAUAAAAUGUUUAACUUGUUUAUAAUAAGGGUUUAACGUGUUUAUAAUAAAAACAUUUAGCUCUGGCCGGAAGUAUAUGCCCAGAUUGACGAGCUCUUCCUUCGCGCUGCGGCGAAUAAAAAUGCUUAUGUGUUUAUAAGGUUCUUGUCCCUCGCCGUCGCUCUUUCCCCAUGAAAAAACAUCACAUAUUCCCGCCAAUUCUUCGACCAAAUACCAAAGCCGACGGCUUUUGACUACAACAAAAUGAUAAGAGCUUACUCCAAGAGCGACUCGCCGGCGGAGGGGUUUUAUCUGUUCAGAUAUUUGCGGCGGCGCGGCCUUUUAGCUGGCUCUAUGGCGUCGUCUUUCGUCAUCAAGUCUUGCAUUAGAGUUUCGUCGUUGGUGGGUGGGAUUUAGGUGCAUGCUAGGAUUUUGAGAGAUGGGCAUCGAUCAGAUAGUCUUUUGCUCACGGCAUUGAUGGGCUUGUAUUCGACUUGUGGUAAGCAUGAUGAAGCGUGUAAAGUGUUUGAUAAAUGCUGAAGAGAGAUACUGUGGCCUUGGGUUUGUUUGAGAUUAUGCAGAGUGAGGUUCAUAGGUGUGAGCCUGAUGACGUUACGUGUUUACUUGUGCUCCAAGCGUGUGCCAGCUUGAACGCGUUGGAGUUUGGCAAACGGGUUCAUAAGUACAUCGAAGAACAUGGUUAUGGUGGUGCUUCAAAUUUGUAUGACUCUCUUGUAUUGAUGUAUUCACGGUGUUGGAGUUUGGAUAAGGCGUAUGGGGUGUUUGAGGGAAUGCAAUAUAAGAAUGUGGUUUUGUGGAGUGCGAUGAUUUCUGGGUUGGCGGUGAAUGGUUAUGGUAGAGAAGCUAUUGAAGCGUUUGGAGAGAUGCAGAAAAUGGGUGUUUUACCUGAUGAUCAGACUUUUACUGGGUCUUUGUGCUUGCAGCCAUUGCGGUUUGGUUGAUGAAAGGAUGAUGAUUUUCGAUCGUAUGAGCAAAGAGUUUGGGGUAGUGCCUAAUAUCCAUCACUAUGGGCGCAUGUUUGAUCUUUUGGGUCGUGCUGGUCGACUUGAUCAGGCCUAUCAGCUCAUAACAUCGAUGAACAUGAAACCAGAUCCGACAAUAUGGAGGACCUUACUUGGGGCUUGCAGAAUUCACGGCAAUAAUUCCCUUGCGGAACGAGUGGUAGGCAAUUUGAUUGAACUCAAGGCUCAAGAGGCAGGGGAUUAUGUCCUGUUGAUGAAUAUUUUCUCUUCAGCUGGAACCUGGGAGAAGCUAACAGAAAUGAGGAAGUUUAUGAAGGAAAAAGCAAUUCAAACUACACCGGGAUGUAGCACGCUUGAACUAAAGGAGUAGCACACGAGUUUGUUGUCGAUGAUGUUUCACAUCCGCGGAAGGAUGAAUGAAAUCUACAAAACGCUGCGUGAGAUUAAUAGCCAGUUGAAGAUUGCUGGUUACGUUGCAGAUGUAACAUCUGAAUUGCACAACUUGGGAGCAGAAGACAAGGGGCUCAUCCCCUCUUACCACAGCGAGACAUGGGCUAUUGCUUUCGGUGUCCUGUCAACUACUCCCGGCACGCCAAUCAGAGUGGCCAAGAAUCUUCGCAUUUGUGUUGAUUGCCACAAUUUUGCAAUGGCUCUCUCAGGGGUUUACAACAGAGAGGUAAUCAUCAGAGACCGCACCCGGUUUCAUCAUUUCCGAGAGGGACGCUGCUCCUGCAAUGGCUAUUGAUAGGAAAACUGAAGAUUUACAGAAGAUGAGCAUUAGGGAACAAUUUUCUGCAUUUGUGAACAAUUUUCUACUGAUUCAAAUAUCGAACAUAAGAAAGCAUGUAGAAGAGGAAAACAAGCAUUGCAAUUGAAAAGUAUGAAUUCACUUUCUUCGAAUUUAUUUUCGCAUCAGAAGCUAGCCCUUGCAUACACGCAAGAUAGAAAUACAUGAUAUUCCUAAAAACUCAUGAUCGACCAGCCAAGUUAUAUCAAAACUGUCACUACAAGUUUCCGCCCGCAAGAGAAGGCUUAUAUUCUUCAAUCUACAACAAUAGAAGCAACUCUGUAUUUCUUCCGAAAAUAGCUUCAACAUAGAACACUGAAAGGAUACCGACUUCAUUCUACAAAACUGAAAGUACUGAUGCAUUGCUAAAUCUGCUAAAAAAUAUCUGUAAAGCAUUCAUUAGAAUGAGGUAAUAGAAGCUUCUGAUAAUAGCGACCUAAGCAGUCACGGUCUGCUUGUUGGCAAAAGCAAUACCCUUCUCAAUGCUGGCUUUCAGUUCCGGCUUGAGUGCUUCCAACGCCUUUUGCUCAUAUUCUGUCAAACCUUGGAGGUCAGACGGUAUGAAAGCUUCAAUUCCAUUCCUUCCAAGCUUAACCCUUGAUGCAAAGAAUGGAAGCUCGGUCAGAUCAGACGCUACAUAUGAGCACUCAUAGACAUCCCCAUCUCCGUCCAGUGCACGCAGAGAUGACUCAACAAAUCGAGCUGCUGCAUAUGCCAUUGACAAUGUCGCGGACCCAGCACCUGCCUUUGCCUCUACAACCUCGGUUCCAGCAUUUUGGAUCCUAACAGUUAGCUGCUCAACUUCUUCGUCAGUGAGGCUAACAGAGGGGUUUGUCCUGGAUAGCAGGGGUAGAAUAGUUAUCCCAGCAUGUCCUCCGACAACUGGGACAUCAACAUCAAUCAGUUUCAGAUUCUUCUUCUGAGCAACAAAUGUGUUCGCCCUCACAACAUCCAAGGUAGAAACACCAAAGAGCUUCUUUGGGUUAUAAACACCCUUCUGCUUCAGAACUUCGGCAGCAAUUGGCACCGUGGAGUUCACCGGAUUACUGAUAAUAUGAAUGAAUGCAUCAGGGCAGUUAUCUGCCACAGCCUCGAUCAAGUUCUUCACAAUGCCGGCAUUGAUGUUGAAGAGGUCAUCGCGGGUCAUACCGGGCUUUCUUGGAACACCGGCAGGAAUGACCACCACAUCCACACCUUUCAAGGAAUUGGGCAACUCGGCAGCUCCGGUGAAAUCAAGAACUUCAGAAGGAGUGUUGCAGUGACUCAAGUCAGCAGCAACACCCUUGACAUUAGCAAUAUCGUAAAGAUGCAGGGAGGAGACCAAAGGCGACAUCUUGAUCAGAAGAGCCAAUGGCUGACCGAUCCCACCGGCAGCUCCAAGAACAGCUACUUUAUACGAGGCCUGGGGCUGGAACUGAGACUGAACCACCAGCGCUUCCUUGUGGGCUUUUCGAGCGAAAGAAGCUCGAAGAGCCGAUGCAGUUUCUUUGCCGGAGAACGAGGUCUCGGUUUCACAAUUGAAAGAUGGGGUUGCCUUGAGCCCAUUGAAAGAGCUCUUGAGAGGGUUUUGGGAGUUGAACCUCAAAGCACAAGGCUUUGACUGCUGAAACGCCGCCGCUUUGUGGCCGAGGGAACAAUUAGUUCCGACGGAAAAGGCAGCUGCUGAUGUUGCUGCCAUCUCUCACGCUCUGUAGCACGCAGAAAUCCAAAUCGAACUCAAAAACUUGAAUUCAAAACACAUAAAAAGCAUAAAAAUUUGACAUCCGAAUUCCGUUGAAAUGCAACCCAAUUCACCAAAUGAAAAGAUAGAUUCUGGGUUAUGUCUAAAACAAUAAAAAAUAAAAAAUAAAAGAUUUCAAUCCAUUGCUCAGAUUCAGAAGCAAAAGAAGUGAAGAACUACACAGCUGGGAAAACUCCAAAAAAACCCAUUAGAUCUGAAACUAUUGCUCAUAGAUCCGUGAGUGUACGAAAUAAACAAAAAAACAAAUUAAAUCUUCAGAAACAGAGUUGAAAAGUUCAUACCUUGAGGAAGAUGAACGCCAACAACCAGAGAGCCACGGAGACGCGAAAUGGCAAAAGGAGGGAUUUAGAGAGAGAAUACAAGAGGAGAGAGAGUGGGUUUUUGGACCUUUUGGGGGUUUUGGCUUAUUGAGUUCGUGAGAAGCUCCGCCAAUGGGCCUCGGAUGAAUCCACGUUCCACACCAUUUUUUCCAAUUUUUUAUUUGUGUUUGACUAUACAGUGGGCCAGUGCACAGCGACUCUCUCCUUUUUUGUUCGCUUCAUCCUGCCGUUAAUCUCUGAUUCCUUCCAAGUUCCAACGGAUGCGAUUAUUAGAAUAAAAUAGGAAAUACUCAACCAACCUUCGUUGGCGAAAAUUAGCUCUUUGCCACAAGUAGAAGGAUCAUUUAUACUCCAACCGUCACUAUGGCGGUAAUUCAAACCAUUAACAUAUUUUUACGUGUAGAAUUUUCAACACAGGACAACGUAUUAUUAGUUUAAGAUACUAUUACAAUGAUAUUUUGAAGGAGAAAUUUUACAACGAUUCUAAAACAAUGACGGACAUAGAAAUUUAUAUAUGCUAGAUCUCAUUACACAAACUUGGAAUUUCCACUCAAAUCUGUUGAAUUCAAAGAGUUCAUUCCUCGUUACAUGAGGAAAAACAAAAAAUUACACAAACAACAAGGCUUCCUCCUUUCAUACAGUAAUUUUCUCCAUCUCCCUCCUGAGUGCAUUAGCCCUAACCAAGCUCCCAAUGGUAUUCACAGCCAACUUCAAAUCCUCCCACGGAUUCCCCGGCACCACCCUCUUGUACAAGUAGCUAUCGAACGUCAUCUUCUGCACGUACUCAUCCGCACACAUCUCCACGAACGCUUCCCUCGCGGGGUUCGACCUAUAGAACACCUUCUGCAACACAUCCAACACCUUGUAAGUAGGCCAAUAGGUCUUGUCCCACUUCUCCAAGUACGUCCUCAAGUCCGCCUCAUUCACCAUCCUCUUCCCAUUCUCCGACCCCUCAACUAUCGCCUCGGCACACAUCCUGCCACUCUUUGCUGCAAAGUAGAUGCCUUCACCAGAACACUUUGUUACGUACCCUGCUGCAUCACCAACGAGUGCUACUCUGCCCGCCAACCUUCGUGGCCGGGGGUGUUCUGGAAUUGGAUGCGCCUCCACCCGGAGAAUUUUGCCGCCUAGAAUCUUGUCCUUGGCUCUGUUUCUUGUUGCUAGUUGGAAUUUCUUGAUGUCUCCUUUGUGUGUCACAGUGCCGGUACCAACUGCUACAUGGUCACAUUUCGGGAACACCCACCCGUAAAAGUCUGGUGAGACAUCAUCGCCGACAUACAUCUCAGCGAGGUUUUCAUAGUACACCAUCUUGUCGUCGGGGAUUUUGAUUCUCUCCUGAAAAGGCCGAAACCAAGAAUUUAAUAAGAACGAACCAAACAUUGAACCAAAUCAACAUCUAAUGCUACUCCAUGAACUUUGAAUUUGGUAAUCAUUUAACAACAUACACAUGAGCAUGGUCAUAAAAUUCGAGAAAAUUUCAGGUUUCAAAGCGGUUCAAGUGUUAUUAGCACAAAAUUUCCUAUGGUAGCCACAUUUUCACGACAUUGAACCAAAUCAUAAGAACGAACCAAACAUUGAACCAAAUCAACAUCUAAUUUUACUCCAUAAACUUUGAAUUUGGUAAUCAUUUAACAACAUACACAAGAGCACGUUCAUAAAAUUCGAGAAAAUUUCAGGUUUCAAAGCGGAUGGCGUGUUAUUAGCACAAAAAUUUCUAUGGUAGCCACCUUUUCACGACUGAUGACCAAUGCAUACCUGAAAACUAUAUCUCAAUUUCGAGUAAUUCAUUGAUAAUUCUCUUACAGUUCAUCAAAAUUACUGACAUAAUGUUAAUUAACAACUUCAAAUCACAUGCACUGAGCCUAGUUCAUUGACAAAACACCAAAUUCUGCAAAUUGAUCGUGAUUUCAAACACAAAGCACAACAAUUGACUGCAAAUAAUUAAUUAAGUAGCAAUUUUCAACGCAGAUGUGAGUUAGACCAGUUUGUCGGGCCCAUUGCACUAGUUUGAGUUCCCCUUCGACCGAAUUCGAGAUUAGAGUAGUUUAGAAUAUCGUAAUUUCCUAAAAGGAGAAAAAACAAAGCAAGUACAUAAUUAAUUACCUGGAAGGCAAUAGCAUACUCAUAAUCACCAGCAUCAAUGCUCUUAGCCACUCUGGAAUUCGCCCCAUCAGCUCCAAUCACCGCAUCAACCUCCAUCGUCUUCUUCACGCCGGCGCCGCCGGCCUUCCCGUCGUACUCCGUGUAAUGCAGGACGUACGGCGCCUCCCCAUCUCCCGGCUUAUCCAUCUUCAAAAACAACCCAUUUAUCACCGUCGCGCCGUUCUCACUCGCCCUGUUCCUCAGGUACUGGUCCAGCACCUCCCGCCUCACCAUCCCAAUGUACUCGUGCGGCUUCAGGGUCUGCCCGAUGUCCACCGCCACGUUCGACGGAGAUAUCAUCUUCAUCUUGGUGACGCGGCGGUCGAUGAUGUCUAGCGGGAGGUCGAACUCGCCCACCAUGCAGAGCGGGAUGGCCCCGCCGCAGGGCUUGCAGUUGUCCAUCUUCCGCUCGAUGAGGAAUGUCUCGACGCCGCCCUUGGCUAGAGUUUCUGCGGCCGCACCGCCGGCGGGUCCGCCGCCUAUGACGGCGACGCGGAGGUUUCGACCAGUGACUUUUGGGCUGGUCUUGGCGGCUUUGACUUGGAGGGUUCGGCGGUUUGAGGAGUUCGGAGAAAUGGGUUUUGCUUGCAUUGUGAAAUGGGUUUUCUCCGCGGCGGUUUGGCGGAGGCCGAUGAAGGAUUUCAGGGCGAUGGAGGUCAUUUUCUUGGUCGGAGCAGCUGUAGCAGAGGAGGUGGAGAGGAGGGUGAGAGUGGC